AACACAUGUAACCAGAACCGUAGACACUUCGUUUUCAUCGUCGUCGUCACUUUUGCUGCGUCGUCUUGUGCGGUGGCUUUUUCUAUCACAGCUUUGAUGCAUAGAUUGUGAUGACUACGAGCAAACUCUACGUUAAGAAUUGAUAUAGCAUCGUAUUAUUACUAACAGAGUAAAAAAGAUUCGAUAAGAUUGCAAUUAUUAUUGAAAUUUAAGAAGAAAAGCGCUAAACGAUCCUAUCCGUCAUGCCUGUUGCUAUAAUAAAGAAAAUCAUGAGGAUAUUAUUCGGCUCACUACACUCAAUAAUAGUUAUUAUGAUCUGUAUCUCAUGCAUACCAAACUUAUUCUUUUUACCUAACCUAACCCAUUAUAAUGAAUAUAUUAAUUUGAAUAAACCAAAUAACAUAACCAAUAACAUACUGAUUUACAAUGAAGAUGACGUGCCAAAAGAAGUAUUAAUUAAUUCAUGGUUUGAGAAAUCAGAAGAAUUGGCAUACGAUACAAGAACAUUUUACCUUUACUGCGUACUUUUAUACAAUUUAUGGUGUUUGUGUUGCGAACUUAUACUAGCUUACUUAAAUAAUUUGUAUAACCGGUUCUUUCGCCGUAAUUAAGAUAAUGAGCAAGCUGUCCGUUUUCAAGACGAUAGAAUUCAUUGGAAUGGACAAGCGAAUGUCCAUCCACAAAACUUGGCACGAGAGGAUGAACUUUAAUUCGGAAAGUUAACAUGAUGUUUUGCGCAUUAGUGCAAAGAGUCACAUAAUUGUAAUAUUGAUAAAGUUUCUUAAUGUUUCUUACGUUAAAUCCUUAUUGUCAAGUUCAAAUCAUUUAGACAACGCAUAUGUUUUCAUACAUA
Molecule: long non-coding RNA, 853 nt
Organism: Camponotus floridanus (Florida carpenter ant)
Lineage: Eukaryota; Metazoa; Arthropoda; Insecta; Hymenoptera; Formicidae
Exons: 5
Source: RefSeq, a predicted model, not a curated record